GCGCACCAGUCGAGAAACUUUACAAUGUGCGAAAGCACGAUAAGGGAACUCUGAGUGCCUCCUAAGGAGGCUGUUCAGGUGUCUAAAAGCACCUGAAGGAAGGGCUGGGUAAGACCGGUGCCAGCCGCCGCGGUAACACCGGCAGCCCAAGUGGUAGCCACGUUUAUUGGGUCUAAAGCGUCCGUAGCCGGCUGGGUAAGUUCCUUGGGAAAUUUGGCUGCUUAACAGUCAAGCUUUCAGGGAAUACUGCUCGGCUUGGGACCGGGAGAGGUCAGAGGUACUCCAGGGGUAGGGGUGAAAUCCAUUAAUCCUUGGGGGACCACCGGUAGCGAAGGCGUCUGACCAGACCGGGUCCGACGGUGAGGGACGAAGGC
This 374-nucleotide ribosomal RNA is filed under the name uncultured microorganism. RNAcentral's name for it is "bacterial SSU rRNA". It matches the Rfam family "Archaeal small subunit ribosomal RNA", at positions 330 to 711 of the family's 1478-position model. The record is from RNAcentral.